CCGUAGUUCAAUGGAUAGAGCAUCGGCCUCCGAAGCCGGGGAUAUGGGUUCAACUCCCGUCGGG
Molecule: transfer RNA, 64 nt
Filed under: bovine gut metagenome
Rfam family: tRNA
About the family: Transfer RNA (tRNA) molecules are approximately 80 nucleotides in length. Their secondary structure includes four short double-helical elements and three loops (D, anti-codon, and T loops). Further hydrogen bonds mediate the characteristic L-shaped molecular structure. tRNAs have two regions of fundamental functional importance: the anti-codon, which is responsible for specific mRNA codon recognition, and the 3' end, to which the tRNAs corresponding amino acid is attached (by aminoacyl-tRNA synthetases). tRNAs cope with the degeneracy of the genetic code in two manners: having more than one tRNA (with a specific anti-codon) for a particular amino acid; and 'wobble' base-pairing, i.e. permitting non-standard base-pairing at the 3rd anti-codon position.
Source: RNAcentral